CCGCCGGCGACCGGCGCACGGGUGAGUAACACGUAUGCAACCUGGCCGUGACAGAUGGAUAACCGGGAGAAAUCCCGCCUAAUACAACAUAAUGCCGGGAGGGGGACACUCCCCCUGGCCGGCCAAAGGGGGCGACCCCGGUCACGGAUGGGCAUGCGGCGCAUUAGGUAGUUGGUGGGGCAACGGCCCACCAAGCCGACGAUGCGUAGGGGUUCUGAGAGGAAGGUCCCCCACAUUGGAACUGAGACACGGUCCAAACUCCUACGGAAGGCAGCAG
RNAcentral lists this ribosomal RNA (277 nucleotides) under uncultured bacterium. RNAcentral describes it as "partial 16S ribosomal RNA". It matches the Rfam family "Bacterial small subunit ribosomal RNA", at positions 85 to 354 of the family's 1533-position model. The record is from RNAcentral.